Non-coding RNA from Gossypium raimondii (Peruvian cotton), 87 nucleotides. The record is from Rfam. Lineage: Eukaryota; Viridiplantae; Streptophyta; Magnoliopsida; Malvales; Malvaceae.
CACGUCAGCGCGACCUGCUGACGUGGAGGGAAAUCGCGUCCUUGAGGAAGCGAUUUCCCUCCAUGUCAGCAGGUCGCGCUGACGUGG